AUUGAACGCUGGCGGCAGGCCUAACACAUGCAAGUCGAGCGGAAGGUUCUUCGGAGCCGAGAGCGGCGGACGGGUGAGGAGAGCGUGGGAAUCUGCCUGUAGAUGGGGGAUAGCCCGGAGAAAUCCGGAUUAAUACCGCAUAAUACCUGAGGGUUAAAGUGGAGGAUCGCAAGACUUCACGUCUACAGAUGAGCCCAGUCAGAUUAGCUAGUUGGUAGGGUAAAGGCCUACCAAGGCGACGAUCUGUAGCUGGCCUGAGAGGGUGGCCAGCCACACUGGAACUGAGACACGGUCCAGACUCCUACGGGAGCAGCAGUGGGAAUAUUGGACAAUGGGCGCAAGCCUGAUCCAGCCAUGCCGCGUGUGUGAAGAAGGCCUCGGUGUAAG
RNAcentral lists this ribosomal RNA (387 nucleotides) under uncultured bacterium. Its description in RNAcentral is "bacterial SSU rRNA". It matches the Rfam family "Bacterial small subunit ribosomal RNA", at positions 30 to 429 of the family's 1533-position model. The record is from RNAcentral.